UGGGGAAUAUUGCGCAAUGGGGGAAACCCUGACGCAGCGACGCCGUGUGAGGGAAGAAGGCCUUCGGGUCGUAAACCUCUGUCGGGAGGGAAGAACCGCCGGGUUCCGAACAGGGACUCGGCCUGACGGUACCUCCGAAGGAAGCGCCGGCUAACUCCGUGCCAGCAGCCGCGGUAAUACGGAGGGCGCGAGCGUUAAUCGGAAUCACUGGGCGUAAAGCGCGCGUAGGCGGCCAGAUAAGUCGGGCGUGAAAGCCCUCGGCUCAACCGAGGAACUGCGUUCGAUACUGUUUGGCUUGAGUCCUGGAGAGGGUGGCGGAAUUCCGGGUGUAGGAGUGAAAUCCGUAGAUAUCCGGAGGAACACCGGUGGCGAAGGCGGCCACCUGGACAGGUACUGACGCUGAGGUGCGAAAGCGUGGGGAGCAAGCAG
RNAcentral lists this ribosomal RNA (429 nucleotides) under uncultured bacterium. Its description in RNAcentral is "bacterial SSU rRNA". It matches the Rfam family "Bacterial small subunit ribosomal RNA", at positions 355 to 775 of the family's 1533-position model. The record is from RNAcentral.